This is a long non-coding RNA of Labeo rohita (rohu), 1660 nucleotides long. RefSeq lists it as uncharacterized. The transcript has 6 exons. The record is from RefSeq and is a predicted model, not a curated record. Lineage: Eukaryota; Metazoa; Chordata; Actinopteri; Cypriniformes; Cyprinidae.
AUGACUGCUGUACAGUGGAAAUAUCGAUCAUCUUGAUAAAACCUCAGUAUAUCAUCAGAAACAACAGGCCACAUUUUCAGCUAAAAAUCUUCUUUGCUGUUCUGCUGAAGAAAAAUACUCAUGAACAUCUUGGGUGGUGUAAGGAUCUUUGCAGGAUUCAGUUGCAUAUCUCGGAUCUGAGUUCUGCGCAGCACUGGACACAGACUCUGCACUUUUGACAUUUUCUAGAAAAAAGGAUUUUAAAUUUCACAUCAAGUUAAUUAAAAGUCAUCUGAUGUUUCCACUGCAGUACUUCAGGGCCUUUCAGUCAUCCUGGAGGAUGACCCACAGGAAUUUUACAGGAUGUGUUUCGAUGUGGAUGCAGACUUCAGUCAAGCAGUUGUAGACCUGCUCACAGUUCUACCAGAGGACAUGCCCUCAUUGUGGAUGCAAUAAAGGCAAUCAUGGAGGGAAGAAUUGUCAUGGAUGGGUUUUAAAGGCCUGUAUUUUAUUUUUGCUGUUCUGUUUGCAUGCCAUUCUGAAAAUGCUCUAUUGUUUAACAGUGUUCCAGUGGGUCCAGAUAAUGUUAUGACAACAAAGUGCUGUUUAGUUAAGAAGUCUGUAAAGAGUAUUAUAAGAACACAGAUGUUUUAAAAGCUAAUUUUUAUUAUUGUGAUAUUCUUAAAGUUUUUUACAAAAAUAAACUGUUGAGAAUUUCAAACUUGUAUUAAGUUCAUUUCAUGCUGGUUGAACGAAUAAAAAUACGUUCAGUUUACUUAAAGAAAAUGUGGAAACCGAUUGCACAAAAUGUUUUAAGUUCCCAUAGCUUAAAAUGGCAGAUUAAAUCCAUGUUGAGAAUAACAGCAUUUAAGAUGUUUGCACAACACAAAAUAACACUGCUAGGUAAAUAGAAUUAAUAAAGUAAUCUUACUAUUAAAUCUUAAGUAAGAUUAGUAAAUGUCCUGGAGUAUGUUAACUAGAAAUGACAUUAAACCUACUUGAUAUUUAUUAGUUAAUUUACUCUGUAAGAGUUUGCUUUCUUUACUUUAAACUGAUUAUUAAAUUAACUUUAGUUUUACCUUUAAGUUUGCUUUAACAAAAUAAGGCAAUUGGUUUCCAAACUUUUUUUUAAGUAAGCUGAACUUAUUAGGAUUUACAGUGUACUGGACAGGAAGUUCAGCUACUAGUUUGUGAUGUCACAAGUACAGCCAAGUAAAUACUAUUGCAUGGCCAACAAUUGAAUUUCACUCACACUGUUUUAAUGACCCUGACAACGAGUGCAUUCAGCAUUGGGGAAAAAAUGUGCAUAUUUUUACUCAAAAAUAAUAUGUUUAUGGUGUGUUUCUUGUAUAUUUUGAAGACACCCUUAAUUAAUUUGUAAUAUACUUGUAAUACAAACAAAGUACACUUUAAUAUCACUAAUCAAGCAUGCAAUUAGCUUACAGCAUAUACUUACUUAAAGUAUACUAAGUAUACUUGAAGUUGUUCCAAUUUAGCACAUAAAAGUACACUAAAUACACUUACAGUUAUGCUUUACUACAAUUUAAUUACAACUAAAAUAUACUUAGCACAAAAUUAGUUGUUCCAAAAUAGCACACUUCAAGUUAACUAAUCAGUAACACACUUGAAGUAUACUGACAAUUAGUCUGGCUGCAAGUAUACUUAGCAUAUUUUUUUUUCA